GGGUGAUUAGCUCAGUUGGGAGAGCAUCGCCCUUACAAGGCGAGGGUCACUGGUUCAAGCCCAGUAUCACCCACCA
Molecule: transfer RNA, 76 nt
Filed under: Pseudoalteromonas sp. MIP2626
Lineage: Bacteria; Pseudomonadati; Pseudomonadota; Gammaproteobacteria; Alteromonadales; Pseudoalteromonadaceae
Description: tRNA-Val
Rfam family: tRNA
About the family: Transfer RNA (tRNA) molecules are approximately 80 nucleotides in length.
Source: RNAcentral